GAUGACGCGUGCUGAUUCGAUCAUCAGUACCUAGUAUUUUCGAUAACACACGUAUAAUGGUGUGUGAUGAUGUUGGCAAUCGGGACCUGUGUGUCCCAAGGUAAAAUCCAUUCCUAAUUUCACGUAAUAUAGUUUUUAAAAUUAUUCAUAAUUUAAUAUAUGUGUUUCUAUUAUAAAUGAGAAAAAUUAUACAAACGAUAUUCGAAUUUUCGAGAUGACCAUAGAUCGAGUUAAAAAGGAUUCCCAAAAUUUUUUUGAUCAUAUCAUAGGUAAGAAUUAUGUGUAUUCCGUAUGAAAACAUAAAUUAUAUGUUUAUAAAAAGGUAUAUGUAUAUAGUGCAUUUUGUGUGAAUGUCUAAAUGUAUGUGUAAUAUAAUAUAAAUACAAUUAGUAUGUCUAAUUUGUAUUUGUGUAUAUUUAUGUAGUGUAUAUAUAUAUCUAUGUUGUUACGCAUGUGUGUGUGUAUAUAAAAAUAUACGAUAUAUGAUAUAUGAAUUGAUGAGAACAUAGUUGAUGAGAACAGAACUGAUAAAAAUAAAUGCAUGAAUAAGUAUAUAUACUAUAUUGUGUGUGAUUGUGUAUAUGUGUUUAAGCAUGAACGUGUGUGUAUAUAUCAAUAGAGAUUGUGUAUGUGAAUAUAAAUAUAUAUUUUGUGUGAGACAUGUAGUAAUGGUACAUGUCUAUAUUAUAAUAUAUAUGUGUGUAUAUUAAAAUGUGUGUACAUAUGUUAUACAUAUGAAAUGUAUAACCAGUGUGUGUACAUAUAGGCUUUGGGUACACUGCACUUGUUGUGUAAUUUAUUGCAAAUGUACGGUGCACUGUACUUGCUGUGUGAUCUGGUACAGUUGAGCGAGGAAUUUGAGUAUCCUGUGCUUGCUGUGUAAUCUGGUACAUGAUGAUUCAGAAAAUAGUUUGAAAUAUAUAGCUCUGAUGUACGUGAUGAUAUUGUGUAUUCUGUGUGUGUGUUUGUGUUUAAUUAUAUAUAAAAAUUAAGAUCUUAAGUAAAAAAUAAGUGUGAUUAGAAAGAAGAACAAGAAUUAGGUUAUAAGAGUGAGGAUUAGAAUAUAUUUUGUGUGAUGAUUUAUUUGUUGUAUAUUUUGAUUGUGAUGUUUUGUUUGACACUUUCUUAAUCAUAAGUAUUAUUAAAUUUUAUAUAUUGCGUGAAUGUAUGUGCGUAAAUUUUUGUUGUAGAAUAAUUUUUUCUUACUAAGCUCGUGAAGCUCACUCCAAUUUAUCAUUGUCCAAGUCAAAAGAGAUAAAAAAAUAAGUUCAAGAUCAAUAGAAGAUAGUGAAGAAAAAUAUUAUUCGCUUUUAUUUUAUUGUUUUAAAUUAAUUUAGAUGUCUUAAUUAUUUGUAAAUGAAUAAUUAUUCUGUCACAAGAUAUGUUUAUUAAAGUGUAGUUUUACAUAUUUAAUAUUUAUCUGUUCUAGUAGUUGAAAAUAUUGUGCUAACGUCCGUAUCUACCGAUAUUGGAGUUUAGGAUGUUACAAAUUAGACUUCAUAUAGCUAGAAACUUGUGGGAGCUUGACAAUUAUGAACACAAAUUUGUCAUUAUGUCUGCAUAAUAUUUUGAAUAGCCCUAGGAAAGGGAGAGUGGUCUUGCUUGUGAUGGAUAAUGAUGCCUUGGUUUUUUCUUCUUCUCUUAUUUUUUCCUUAUCGAAUCUUCAAGUUGUGGAUUUUGUUUUCUUCUCUGUGGCUCUUUUAUUUCCUAAUACUAAUUGAUAAUGGACG
RNAcentral lists this long non-coding RNA (1730 nucleotides) under Carica papaya (papaya). RNAcentral describes it as "long non-coding RNA (CPAP_LNC012366)". Lineage: Eukaryota; Viridiplantae; Streptophyta; Magnoliopsida; Brassicales; Caricaceae. The record is from RNAcentral.